CCUACGGGAGGCUGCAGUGGGGAAUAUUGCACAAUGGGGGAAACCCUGAUGCAGCGACGCCGCGUGAGUGAAGAAGUCAUUCUUUAUGUAAAGCUCUAUCAGCAGGGAAGAAAAUCACGGUACCUGUGUCCGAAGCCCCGGCUAACUACGUGCCAGCAGCCGCGGUAAUACGUAGGGGGCAAGCGUUAUCCGGAUUUACUGGGUGUAUAGGGAGCGUAGACGGCAGUGCAAGUCUGGAGUGAAAGGCGGGGGCUCAACCCCCGGACUGCUCUGGAAACUGUACGGCUGGAGUGCAGGAGAGGUAAGUGGAAUUCCUAGUGUAGCGGUGAAAUGCGUAGAUAUUAGGAGGAACACCAGUGGCGAAGGCGGCUUACUGGACUGUAACUGACGUUGAGGCUCGAAAGCGUGGGGAGCAAACAGGAUUAGAUACCCCUGUAGUC
RNAcentral lists this ribosomal RNA (440 nucleotides) under uncultured bacterium. RNAcentral's name for it is "partial 16S ribosomal RNA". It matches the Rfam family "Bacterial small subunit ribosomal RNA", at positions 338 to 795 of the family's 1533-position model. The record is from RNAcentral.